CUCCCACGCACCCCUUUAUCCCGAGCCUCAAUCCAUUGCCGCUCCUCUUCUCCUCUCGUUACCACUGACCACCACGGCUCGACGCCGGCCGUUAGCCCUUCCACAUCUUCUUUGUCGCCUGAUGUCGAGCCAUCCUCAUUGUUCCAGCGAUCAUUGACGCUAUCCUGCCCCGAUUUCUACUCGACGCCAUUGUCUACGUGCGCUAUCUGAUCAUACCAACGCCGCCCACCGCUCUACGCCACCGUUGCUUGAAGGGAGGAGUCGAUGAAAGGGGCUAAGGGAGCCUCUCUCUCUCUCUCUCUCUCUCUCUCUCGUUCGUAGAUCUAAGUAGAACGAUGGCUAUUGCCACCAGUGAGGGCAUCGCCGCGAGUCCUCUCCUGUAAACAGUGCUGCCGCUGCCCUACUACGAUUUCUCCUCUUGUGCAUGCCCGAUCAUCGGAGGCUCGGCUGCCUUCGAGAGCCGAUGACGCUGCAAUGCCAAGAUUGAAGCCACACCGUCCUUGGUCGUGCCCUAGUGCCAUCGUUACCCUCCUCUGUACUGGAUCAACAUCACAGUAGCCCUGGAUCCUUCACUAUGCGACUAUAGAUUUGGAUUUGGGAUAAGUGUGUAGAUUUGGAUUAAUGCUGGAUGGAAUCCUAUCUUGGUUGUUUCAUUGGAUCGAUGUCAUUUCCUAGAAUUUGAAUUGUUGAUUUAGAGUUCUUGAUUUGCGGUGGCUAUCCUUCUUCAGCCAAGGAUUGACAGAAGGGGAUUAUUAAGGACGUUGAUUCGAGACGAGUGUCUGGACGUGGGAUGGUUUAACACGAUCUAUAUAUGAAAGCGAUCACGUCUCCCUUGUGAGUGAGUGAGUCGUCGGGCCGCACCGCACACUCGACCAUUCAUGGGUAGUGGUAGCUGGAGGAGAUGCAGCUUGCCCUUUCGUGCUCCCACUCACUCACUCAUGGGUAGUGAUAGCUGGAGUUGUGAGCAGCAAGAAACCCCAUCGUAGACGUAGCUAGUUAGCUACUAUACAACUAUCCCCUCAGCCACUCGAGAAUAGUGGUAGCUGGAGUGGUGUACAGUCUGUCACUGACUCGGCCUCUCGACCAUACAGGGGUUAUGAUAUAGAGGGGUGGGCGGGAGUGACCAUCCGUGCAUACGUUAUUGUUAUUAUACUUGCUUAUGCUGUUGUUGCUUACUUAUGCUGUCAUGCUUACACAUGUUGAGAUAUAUACUUGUUGUUUGUGUUUAGACACUAGCUUACUUAUUGGUAAUAUGUAUAUACAUCACAUAUUACCCUUGUAGUUAUGAGCAGUACUGUAACAGGUCUGUACUAUUCCUAACCUUAUAGCCUAGGAUAUGGUUUAAGGUAUGGACAUUUAUUAUGAUAUCAAUGUAGUAUCUGCUAUUUUCCUUACGAGACUAUAUAUCUUUGUAUCUCUAGUUCUUUAUUAUGUUCAUGCACUAUCUGUCUAAUACCCGCUGCGUCCCAGUACUCACCACCCCAUGAACUGAUUUA
Molecule: long non-coding RNA, 1496 nt
Organism: Zingiber officinale
Lineage: Eukaryota; Viridiplantae; Streptophyta; Magnoliopsida; Zingiberales; Zingiberaceae
Exons: 4
Source: RefSeq, a predicted model, not a curated record